AUGAACGCUGGCGGCGUGCCUAAUACCUGCAAGUCGCGCGCACGGACGAGAAGCUUGCUUCUCUGAUGUUAGCGGCGGACGGGUGAGUAACACGUGGAUAACCUACCUAUAAGACUGGGAUAACUUCGGGAAACCGGAGCUAAUACCGGAUAAUAUUUUGAACCGCAUGGUUCAAAAGUGAAAGACGGUCUUGCUGUCACCUAUAGAUGGAUCCGCGCUGCAUUAGCUAGUUGGUAAGGUAACGGCUUACCAAGGCAACGAUGCAUAGCCGACCUGAGAGGGUGAUCGGCCACACUGGAACUGAGACACGGUCCAGACUCCUACGGGAGGCAGCAGUAGGGAAUCUUCCGCAAUGGGCGAAAGCCUGACGGAGCAACGCCGCGUGAGUGAUGAAGGUCUUCGGAUCGUAAAACUCUGUUAUUAGGGAAGAACAUAUGUGUAAGUAACUGUGCACAUCUUGACGGUACCUAAUCAGAAAGCCACGGCUAACUACGUG
RNAcentral lists this ribosomal RNA (496 nucleotides) under uncultured bacterium. RNAcentral's name for it is "partial 16S ribosomal RNA". It matches the Rfam family "Bacterial small subunit ribosomal RNA", at positions 29 to 507 of the family's 1533-position model. The record is from RNAcentral.